GAUGAACGCUGGCGGCGUGCUUAACACAUGCAAGUCGAACGAACCUUCGGGUUAGUGGCGGACGGGUGAGUAACGCGUGAGAAUCCGCCCUCAGGAGGGGGAUAACGGCUGGAAACGGCCGCUAAUACCCCAUAUGCCGAGAGGUGAAAUGAAUUUCGCCUGGGGAUGAGCUCGCGUUUGAUUAGCUAGUUGGUGGGGUAAAGGCCUACCAAGGCGACGAUCAGUAGCUGGUUUGAGAGGAUGAUCAGCCACACUGGGACUGAGACCCGGCCCAGACUCCUACGGGAGGCAGCAGUGGGGAAUUUUCCGCAAUGGGCGAAAGCCUGACGGAGCAACGCCGCGUGAGGGAUGAAGGCCUUUGGGCUGUAAACCUCUUUUAUCAAGGAAGAAGAUUUGACGGUACUUGAUGAAUAAGCCCCGGCUAAUUCCGUG
This 432-nucleotide ribosomal RNA is filed under the name uncultured bacterium. RNAcentral's name for it is "bacterial SSU rRNA". It matches the Rfam family "Bacterial small subunit ribosomal RNA", at positions 28 to 507 of the family's 1533-position model. The record is from RNAcentral.